GGCGGGGCCAAGGGGGCGGUGCGUCUGAGUUAACUCCGCCCUCGACACGUUGCUGCUCCGCCGAGCAAAAAAUACCACGAGACGGUUAGAUAGUAUCCCGGACUCAAUGGACGUGAGUUUGAGUAAGCUCCGGGAGUUGGUGAUGGACAGGGAGGCCUGGCGUGCUGCAGUCCAUGGGGUCGCAAAGAGUCGGACACUACUGAGCGACUGAACUGAGCUGAACUGAGCCUAUAUAACAUGAUGGAGAUGGAGAAGAUCAUAGAGACUUUGAGGUCUAUUUUUCUUCUUUGUUUUGAGGUCGGCUUCCCUUCUGUGUUACGAACAGGAAAACUCAGUCUCUGAGAGGCGCCGGUGUUGCUCAAGAUCACUUACCUGUGAAAAGAAGAGUUAAACUAGAGCUGUAAGUCUAACCUACCGCUUGAAGCAGCCCUUCGGGGAAUUCCGCGUCAUCCGGAAAACCUCACACCUCCAAGGAGAACUUCAUCGUGUUCCAUUUCCCGUUUUGCUGGGUCGGCCAGGCCAGGAUCGCUAUAAGUAUCUCACUCCCAAUUCUGGGCAGCCAGGAGGACCAGGGGAGGCCACGCUCAACGCCUGGCGUCCAAGGAGCACACGGCGGACAUCGACCCUCGUUCCAGACGGAAUGCCCCGUCAUCCGUGCUUGGGUUGAAGUUCAUUGCCUUACCUGGGCAGCAGCCUGGGCCACCGCUUCCUGACAGGCUCCUAGCCAGCCUGGAGCUCACCUAGCCCCCAGGAGCUCACCUGACUCUCAGUCCCCCUGCCAGACCCAGCUCGCACGGACAUCUCCACCAGGUCCUGGGAGAGCUCUGUGAGCAGACCCACCACCCAGAGCUGCUGCUCCCCGGUUGCCAGCGCGGGUUGGCAGUGGCACCCGUCACUCUUCUGCGGUUUUUAGAGAGUGAAAAAGACCUGGAAGAUGUCUGGGGGACAUACGGAGGAUGUUUAGUGCUGGAUCGUCAGGUUGGGACCUGAAGCUGUGCAGU
This 1001-nucleotide long non-coding RNA is filed under the name Bos indicus x Bos taurus (hybrid cattle). RNAcentral describes it as "lncRNA (ENSBIXG00000013552.1)". The record is from RNAcentral. Lineage: Eukaryota; Metazoa; Chordata; Mammalia; Artiodactyla; Bovidae.